AGAGUUUGAUCCUGGCUCAGGACGAACGCUGGCGGCGUGCCUAACACAUGCAAGUCGAACGGAGCUAAGCCCUUCGGGACUUAACUUAGUGGCGAACGGGUGAGUAACGCGUGAGGAACCUGCCUUUCAGUGGGGGACAACAGUUGGAAACGACUGCUAAUACCGCAUAAAACUUCCGGAUGGCAUCAUCUGGAAGUCAAAGAUUUAUUGCUGAAAGAUGGCCUCGCGUCUGAUUAGCUUGUUGGCGGGGUAACGGCCCACCAAGGCGACGAUCAGUAGCCGGUCUGAGAGGAUGAACGGCCACAUUGGGACUGAGAUACGGCCCAGACUCCUACGGGAGGCAGCAGUGGGGAAUAUUGGGCAAUGGGGGAAACCCUGACCCAGCAACGCCGCGUGAAGGAAGAAGGCCUUCGGGUUGUAAACUUCUUUUACCAGGGACGAAGAAGAUGACGGUACCUGGAGAAAAAGCAACGGCUAACUACGUGCCAGCAGCCGCGGUAAUACGUAGGUUGCAAGCGUUGUCCGGAUUUACUGGGUGUAAAGGGCGUGUAGGCGGAGAUGCAAGUUAGGAGUGAAAUCUAUGGGCUCAACCCAUAAACUGCUUCUAAAACUGUAUCCCUUGAGUAUCGGAGAGGCAAGCGGAAUUCCGAGUGUAGCGGUGAAAUGCGUAGAUAUUCGGAGGAACACCAGUGGCGAAGGCGGCCUACUGGGCUUUAACUGACGCUGAGGCUCGAAAGUGUGGGGAGCAAACAGGAUUAGAUACCCUGGUAGUCCACACUGUAAACGAUGAUUGCUAGGUGUGGGGGGUCUGACCCCCUCCGUGCCGGAGUUAACGCAAUAAGCAAUCCACCUGGGGAGUACGGCCGCAAGGUUGAAACUCAAAGGAAUUGACGGGGGCCCGCACAAGCAGUGGAUUAUGUGGUUUAAUUCGAAGCAACGCGAAGAACCUUACCAGGUCUUGACAUCCGACUAACGAGAUAGAGAUAUGUCAGGUGCCCUACGGGGAAAGUCGAGACAGGUGGUGCAUGGUUGUCGUCAGCUCGUGUCGUGAGAUGUUGGGUUAAGUCCCGCAACGAGCGCAACCCCUGCCAUUAGUUGCUACGCAAGAGCACUCUAAUGGGACCGCUACCGACAAGGUGGAGGAAGGUGGGGACGACGUCAAAUCAUCAUGCCCCUUAUGACCUGGGCUACACACGUAAUACAAUGGCCGUCAACAACGAGGAGCAAACCCGCGAGGGGGAGCAAAACUUAAAAAACGGUCUCAGUUCGGAUUGCAGGCUGCAACUCGCCUGCAUGAAGUUGGAAUUGCUAGUAAUCGCGGAUCAGCAUGCCGCGGCGAAUACGUUCCCGGGCCUUGCACUCACCGCCCGUCA
RNAcentral lists this ribosomal RNA (1373 nucleotides) under uncultured bacterium. Its description in RNAcentral is "bacterial SSU rRNA". It matches the Rfam family "Bacterial small subunit ribosomal RNA". The record is from RNAcentral.